Molecule: ribosomal RNA, 251 nt
Filed under: uncultured bacterium
Lineage: Bacteria
Description: partial 16S ribosomal RNA
Rfam family: Bacterial small subunit ribosomal RNA
Source: RNAcentral
UACGUAGGGGGCAAGCGUUGUCCGGAUUUAUUGGGCGUAAAGAGCGUGUAGGCGCCAGGGAGGUCCGUUGUGAAAACUCGAGGCUCAACCUCGAGACGCCGAUGGAAACCCCCUGGCUAGAGUCCGGAAGAGGAGAGUGGAAUUCCUGGUGUAGCGGUGAAAUGCGCAGAUAUCAGGAAGAACACCCGUGGCUAAGGCGGCUCACUGGCCCGAUACUGACGCUGGAGACGAAAGCGUGGGGAGCAAACAGG